AUAAGUAAUGUGAAUUGCAGAAUUCAGUGAAUCAUCGAAUCUUUGAACGCACCUUGCGCUCCUUGGUAUUCCGAGGAGCAUGCCUGUUUGAGUGUCAUGAAAUUCUCAACCUUACAAAGUUGUCAACUUUGUCUGGCUUGGAUUGUGGGAGUUCUUUU
This 158-nucleotide ribosomal RNA is filed under the name Leucopaxillus sp. RNAcentral's name for it is "5.8S ribosomal RNA". The stretch from base 1 to 97 matches the Rfam family "5.8S ribosomal RNA", at positions 58 to 154 of the family's 154-position model. From Rfam's summary of the family: 5.8S ribosomal RNA (5.8S rRNA) is a component of the large subunit of the eukaryotic ribosome. The record is from RNAcentral. Lineage: Eukaryota; Fungi; Basidiomycota; Agaricomycetes; Agaricales; Tricholomataceae.